Molecule: ribosomal RNA, 231 nt
Filed under: uncultured bacterium
Lineage: Bacteria
Description: partial 16S ribosomal RNA
Rfam family: Bacterial small subunit ribosomal RNA
Source: RNAcentral
CGGGGUGAGUAACGCGUGGGUAACCUGCCUUGUACUGGGGACAACAGUUGGAAACGACUGCUAAUACCGCAUAAGCGCACAGCUUCGCAUGAAGCAGUGUGAAAAACUCCGGUGGUACAAGAUGGACCCGCGUCUGAUUAGCUGGUUGGUGAGGUAACGGCCCACCAAGGCGACGAUCAGUAGCCGGCCUGAGAGGGUGAACGGCCACAUUGGGACUGAGACACGGCCCAA